Molecule: ribosomal RNA, 244 nt
Filed under: uncultured bacterium
Lineage: Bacteria
Description: partial 16S ribosomal RNA
Rfam family: Bacterial small subunit ribosomal RNA
Source: RNAcentral
CUGAUGCAGCGGCGGACGGGUGAGUAACGCGUGGGAAUCUGCCCAGUAGUGGGGGACAACAGCCGGAAACGGCUGCUAAUACCGCAUACGCCCUACGGGGGAAAGGGGGGGAUCUUCGGACCUCUCGCUAUUGGAUGAGCCCGCGUCGGAUUAGCUAGUUGGUAGGGUAAAGGCCUACCAAGGCUACGAUCCGUAACUGGUCUGAGAGGGCGGACGGACACACUGGGACUGAGACACGGCCCAG